UACAUAGGUCUCAAGCGUUGUUCGGAUUCAUUGGGCGUAAAGGGUGCGUAGGCGGCUCGGCAAGUCUGGUGUGAAAUCUCGGGGCUUAACUCCGAAACUGCAUUCGAUACUGCCGUGCUUGAGGACUGGAGAGGAGACUGGAAUUCACGGUGUAGCGGUGAAAUGCGUAGAUAUCGUAAGGAAGACCAGUGGCGAAGGCGGGUCUCUGGACAGUUCCUGACGCUGAGGCACGAAGGUCAGGGGAGCAAACGGG
Molecule: ribosomal RNA, 253 nt
Filed under: uncultured bacterium
Lineage: Bacteria
Description: partial 16S ribosomal RNA
Rfam family: Bacterial small subunit ribosomal RNA
Source: RNAcentral